GACGAACGCUGGCGGCGUGCCUAAUACAUGCAAGUAGGACGCAGUUGCGAACGGGUGAGUAACGCGUAGGUAAUUACCUAUUAGAGGGGGAUAACUUUUGGAAACGAAAGCUAAACCCGCAUAUUAGUAGAUGGACCUGCGUUGUAUUAGCUAGUAGGUAGGGUAAUGGCCUACCUAGGCAAGGAUACAUAGCCGACCUGAGAGGGGGAUCGGCCACACUGGGACUGAGACACGGCCCAGACUCCUACGGGAGGCAGCAGUAGGGAAUCUUCGGCAAUGGGGGGAACCCUGACCGAGCAACGCCGCGUGAGUGAAGAAGGUUUUCGGAUCGUAAAGCUCUGUUGUUAAGGAAGCGGUACUUAACCAGAAAGGGACGGCUAACUACGUGCCAGCCGCCGCGGUAAUUC
RNAcentral lists this ribosomal RNA (407 nucleotides) under uncultured bacterium. RNAcentral describes it as "partial 16S ribosomal RNA". It matches the Rfam family "Bacterial small subunit ribosomal RNA", at positions 28 to 526 of the family's 1533-position model. The record is from RNAcentral.